GGGUCCAAGGCAAGUUCAGGGUCAAAGUCCUUCAAUGUUCUGUUUGUCUGUCUCCAGUCCUGCCUCUUCCCAGCCUUGCCGUGGGGAGCAUGGUCCCACCAAGACGUGGACAGCAGAGGCACUCUGCCAUACACUUACUUGUAUCCAUUCUCCCCCAAACUCCUCUCCCAUCCAGGCUGCCACAUAACAUUGAGCAGAGUUCUUAUGCUAUACAAUAAGUCCUUGUUGGUUAUUCAUUUUAAAUAUAACAGUAAGACUCUAGCAUUUUCUGUGCCAGCAGAACUUGAAGAGACUCUGGGGAAACACAUUGGUGUUGAUGAAAAACUAAUCAGUAGUCAAUCUAAGAAAGAAAUGAGGGCUUCCCUGGUGGUCCAGUGGUAAAGAAUCCACCUGCCAGUGCAGGGGACAAGAGCUCAGUCCCUACUGCAGGAGGAUCCCAUAUGCCGAAGGGCAACUAACCCGAUGUACUACAACUACUGAGCCCACGUGCUUCAAGUACUGAAGCCCAUCCUCCACGGCAAGAGAAGACACUGCAAUGAGAAGCCGGGACACCACAACAAAGACCAUCCCCUGCUCACUGCAACUGGAGAAAGCCUGCACACAGCAAUAAAGACCCAGCAACCCUCCAAAUAAA
RNAcentral lists this long non-coding RNA (634 nucleotides) under Ovis aries (sheep). RNAcentral's name for it is "lncRNA (ENSOARG00000025983.1)". Lineage: Eukaryota; Metazoa; Chordata; Mammalia; Artiodactyla; Bovidae. The record is from RNAcentral.